Chinchilla lanigera (long-tailed chinchilla) is the source of this 1191-nucleotide long non-coding RNA. RefSeq lists it as uncharacterized. Lineage: Eukaryota; Metazoa; Chordata; Mammalia; Rodentia; Chinchillidae. The record is from RefSeq and is a predicted model, not a curated record. The transcript is spliced from 3 exons.
CCAGCUGGUAUUUUUUUCCUCUCUCUGUCUCUGUUUUUAUUUUUCCUUUGUCACUGUGGGUUUCAAUGUUCUGGGGAGGAGGAGCUCACCCUGGAGUAUUCAGGGAGUGAAAUCAUACUCAGCAACAAAGACCCGGCCCCUAAAACGUGACAACAUGGAGACGUGUGCAGACACCAAGCAGAGGAAGCUGGGAACAAAAGAGUCCAGACAGCAAGAGUCUCUUGUAUGCAGCGGAACUAAACUAGGGGAGGAAAUCAGCACAGCAGCUGCCUUGGUGCGCCGCAAGGAUUAACUGCAAAGGAGCCCAGGAGCACUUUCCUGCAUGACGGGACCCGUCUAGGUCAGAAGUGUGUGACUGGGUUUCUGUACUCAGCAAAGCCCGCUGAGCUGUGUACUUCGGAUAUGCACAUCUCACUGUGCGCUCUCUACAGACGCCGGAAGUUCCGCCAUCUUGUUUUGCCCUGGUUUCUCAAUGCAUCAUGGUCUCUCUGGGCCCAGUGCCUCUCUGCUUCCCUGAGACUGGCAGCCCUGUGAGGGGCUCAGUGAUUCAGCCCCUCUGACAUCUUAUCUCCUGCUGGACAAAGCAGAGAGCCAGGCCUUGGUGGAAGGAAUCCCUGCUAGCUUCCUGUGUUGCCCUCAGAAACACUGCUCUAUCCCCUCCCUACCCUUAAAGGAGGAAAAGCGUUCAGUCUUCAGUGCCCUCAUCUUAAGAAAAUAGAACCUAAGAGAAAAGCAUGUUUGGAGUAAUUCCAUUUUAGGCACAGUGGCCCCCAACUGCUUUGGAGGCCCAAGGUUAGUGGGGACGUGGGGGAAGCGUUAACGUCCUCCUCACCUUGGGGUAACAGAGGAGAGCGGUUUGGAAGGAAGAGCCCAAUACGUGAUCCUGUCACACAGGGUGUAAGGAUCUAUAUAAAUGAACCUGGGUUGCUUAUAAAAUGGAAACAGUGACUUGUGCAUUACUAGCUAUGGUAAGACUGAAGAGAAGACUUGAGGGUUUUUUGGAUUUGUUUUUCGCAUUUAUGGAAAUGGAACCCCUGGCCUCACACAAGCUAGACCGGCAUUCUGUCACUGAGCUACACCCUGAGUGCAAGAACUUGCAUUUUUUAGAUGGAGUUGCCUAGUUUAGAUUAAGUAGUUCUACUUUUUUCUUUCAUUGCAAAGAAAAGGAAUCUGAGGGAUUCUCAGGAAAAC